RNAcentral lists this transfer RNA (74 nucleotides) under Flavobacteriales bacterium. RNAcentral's name for it is "tRNA-Arg". It matches the Rfam family "tRNA". Rfam says of the family: Transfer RNA (tRNA) molecules are approximately 80 nucleotides in length. Their secondary structure includes four short double-helical elements and three loops (D, anti-codon, and T loops). Further hydrogen bonds mediate the characteristic L-shaped molecular structure. tRNAs have two regions of fundamental functional importance: the anti-codon, which is responsible for specific mRNA codon recognition, and the 3' end, to which the tRNAs corresponding amino acid is attached (by aminoacyl-tRNA synthetases). tRNAs cope with the degeneracy of the genetic code in two manners: having more than one tRNA (with a specific anti-codon) for a particular amino acid; and 'wobble' base-pairing, i.e. permitting non-standard base-pairing at the 3rd anti-codon position. The record is from RNAcentral. Lineage: Bacteria; Pseudomonadati; Bacteroidota; Flavobacteriia; Flavobacteriales.
GGUCCCGUAGCUCAGCUGGAUAGAGCACCUGCCUUCUAAGCAGGCGGUCGUUGGUUCGAAUCCAACCGGGAUCG